GUGCACCAGUCGCGAAACCUCCGCAAUACACGAAAGUGUGACGGGGCCAUCCCGAGUGCCGUCCGCUGAGGACGGCUUUUCCCCAGUGUACACAGCUGGGGGAAUAAGGAGAGGGCAAGCCUGGUGUCAGCCGCCGCGGUAAUACCAGCUCUCCGAGUGGUGGGGACGCUUAUUGGGCCUAAAGCAUCCGUAGCCGGCUGGGCAAGUCCUCCGUUAAAUCCAACGAUUCAAUCGUUGGGCUGCGGGGGAUACUGUCCAGCUUGGGGGCGGGAGAGGCCGACGGUAUUCCCGGGGUAGGGGUGAAAUCCUAUAAUCCCGGGAGGACCACCAGUGGCGAAGGCUGUCGGCUAGAACGCGCCCGACGGUGAGGGAUGAAAGCUGGGGGAGCGAACCGGAUUA
Molecule: ribosomal RNA, 399 nt
Filed under: uncultured microorganism
Description: bacterial SSU rRNA
Rfam family: Archaeal small subunit ribosomal RNA
Source: RNAcentral